CCCAGACAGCCAGGAUGUUGGCUUAGAAGCAGCCAUCAUUUAAAGAAAGCGUAAUAGCUCACUGGUCGAGUCGGCCUGCGCGGAAGAUGUAACGGGGCUAAACCAUGCACCGAAGCUGCGGCAGCGAACGUAUCACUUAAAGCGAUUCAGCGGAUUACGAUUGACGGAGCGAAGCGACGUCAAAGCGUAUACAAAGUCGAGUCGGUUUAAGGAUACGUUCGUUGGGUAGGGGAGCGUUCUGUAAGCCUGUGAAGGUGGCCUGUGAGGGUUGCUGGAGGUAUCAGAAGUGCGAAUGCUGACAUAAGUAACGAUAAAGCGGGUGAAAAGCCCGCUCGCCGGAAGACCAAGGGUUCCUGUCCAACGUUAAUCGGGGCAGGGUGAGUCGACCCCUAAGGCGAGGCCGAAAGGCGUAGUCGAUGGGAAACAGGUUAAUAUUCCUGUACUUGGUGUUACUGCGAAGGGGGGACGGAGAAGGCUAUGUUGGCCGGGCGACGGUUGUCCCGGUUUAAGCGUGUAGGCUGGUUUUCCAGGCAAAUCCGGAAAAUCAAGGCUGAGGCGUGAUGACGAGGCACUACGGUGCUGAAGCAACAAAUGCCCUGCUUCCAGGAAAAGCCUCUAAGCAUCAGGUAACAUCAAAUCGUACCCCAAACCGACACAGGUGGUCAGGUAGAGAAUACCAAGGCGCUUGA
Molecule: ribosomal RNA, 689 nt
Filed under: Salmonella enterica subsp. enterica serovar Kentucky
Lineage: Bacteria; Pseudomonadati; Pseudomonadota; Gammaproteobacteria; Enterobacterales; Enterobacteriaceae
Description: partial 23S ribosomal RNA
Rfam family: Bacterial large subunit ribosomal RNA
Source: RNAcentral